GUAAAUAUUUCUGACGGAAUAGACCAGUCUGUUCAGCGCCGUGAUGAGAAGUUUAAUGUCAGUGGCUUUGAGGGAAAGAACUCAGGUCAGACUAUGAAAGAUCCUGCUAUGCAGAGAAAGGAAGGAUCGAGUGGUAGACCAAAAGGUACAAUGCUUGAGAAGGCCAUCAGGGAUUUGGAGAAGAUCGUUGCAGAAUUAAGGCCACCAAAUAUGGAGGUUCAGGAUGCUGAUAAUUCAUCUCAGGCUAUCAAAAGGAGGUUACCACUUGAAAUAAAGCAGAGGCUGGCAAAAGUUGCCCGACUGGCGCAAGCUAGUCAUGGAAAAAUAUCCAAUGAGUUAAUUAGUCGUUUAAUGAGUAUUGUCGGCCACUUGAUACAGCUUCGCACAUUGAAGCGGAACUUGAAAAUCAUGGUCAAUAUGGGGCUGUCAGC
Molecule: unclassified non-coding RNA, 431 nt
Filed under: Hevea brasiliensis (rubber tree)
Lineage: Eukaryota; Viridiplantae; Streptophyta; Magnoliopsida; Malpighiales; Euphorbiaceae
Source: RNAcentral